This 236-nucleotide ribosomal RNA is filed under the name uncultured bacterium. RNAcentral describes it as "partial 16S ribosomal RNA". It matches the Rfam family "Bacterial small subunit ribosomal RNA", at positions 15 to 236 of the family's 1533-position model. The record is from RNAcentral.
GAUCAUGGCUCAGGACGGACGCUGGCGGCGUGCUUAACACAUGCAAGUCGAACGGAGAACUUUCUUCGGAAUGUUCUUAGUGGCGAACGGGUGAGUAACGCGUAGGCAACCUGCCCUCUGGUUGGGGACAACAUUCCGAAAGGGAUGCUAAUACCGAAUGAGAUCCUCUUUCCGCAUGGAGAGAGGAUGAAAGAUGGCCUCUACUUGUAAGCUAUCGCCAGAAGAUGGGCCUGCGU